GAGUUUGAUCCUGGCUCAGGACGAACGCUGGCGGCGCGCCUAACACAUGCAAGUCGAACGGAGCUUAGAGAGCUUGCUUUUUAAGCUUAGUGGCGAACGGGUGAGUAACGCGUGAGUAACCUGCCCUAGAGUGGGGGACAACAGUUGGAAACGACUGCUAAUACCGCAUAAGCCCACGGUACCGCAUGGUACUGAGGGAAAAGGAUUUAUUCGCUUUAGGAUGGACUCGCGUCCAAUUAGCUAGUUGGUGAGGUAACGGCCCACCAAGGCGACGAUUGGUAGCCGGACUGAGAGGUUGAACGGCCACAUUGGGACUGAGACACGGCCCAGACUCCUACGGGAGGCAGCAGUGGGGAACAUUGGGCAAUGGGCGCAAGCCUGACGGAGCAACGCCGCGUGAGUGAUGACGGCCUUCGGGUUGUAAAACUCUGUGAUCCGGGACGAAAAGGCAGAGUGCGAAGAACAAACUGCAUUGACGGUACCGGAAAAGCAAGCCACGGCUAACUACGUGCCAGCCGCCGCGGUAAUAC
RNAcentral lists this ribosomal RNA (530 nucleotides) under uncultured bacterium. RNAcentral's name for it is "bacterial SSU rRNA". It matches the Rfam family "Bacterial small subunit ribosomal RNA", at positions 9 to 526 of the family's 1533-position model. The record is from RNAcentral.